GACGAACGCUGGCGGCGUGCCUAAUACAUGCAAGUCGAACGCACAGUUUAUACCGUAGCUUGCUACACCAUAGACUGUGAGUUGCAAACGGGUGAGUAACGCGUAGGUGACCUGCCUGGUAGCGGGGGAUAACUAUUGGGAACGCUAGCUAAUACCGCAUCAUAUUAAUUAUUGCAUGAUAAUUAAGUAAAAGGUUCAAUUGCACCACUACCAGAUAGUCCUGCGUUGUAUUAGCUAGUAGGGGAGGUAACGGCGCACCUAGGGGACGAUACAUAGCCGACCUGCGAGGGUGGUCGGCCAACCCUGGACGGAGAACCGGCCCCAAAUCCUACGGGAGGCAGCAGUAGGGAAUCUUCGGCAAAGGAGGGAAGUCUGACCGAGCAACGGCGAGUGAGUGAAGAAGGUUUUCCGAUCGGAAAGCUCUGUUGUAAGAGAAGAACGGGUGUGAGAGUGGAAAGUUCCCACUGUGACGGUACCUUACCAGAAAGCGACGGCUAACUACGUG
RNAcentral lists this ribosomal RNA (505 nucleotides) under uncultured bacterium. RNAcentral's name for it is "partial 16S ribosomal RNA". It matches the Rfam family "Bacterial small subunit ribosomal RNA", at positions 28 to 507 of the family's 1533-position model. The record is from RNAcentral.